Ochotona princeps (American pika) is the source of this 106-nucleotide small nuclear RNA. The record is from Ensembl. NCBI's taxonomy places the organism in Eukaryota, Metazoa, Chordata, Mammalia, Lagomorpha, Ochotonidae.
GUGUUGUUUCGGCAGUACAUAUACUGAAAUUGGAAUGAUACAGAGAAGAUUAGCAUGGUUCCUUUGCAAGGGUGAUAUGGAAAUUCAUGAAGCAUUCCAUACUUUA